GAACACCUCGCAAACGAUGAGUAUAAAUAGAAAAUAAUACAUAUAAAUCAUUUGGUGGACCAAAAUAUAUAUUUUAAACUAUAAUAUAUAUUCGAAAAGAUUAAAGAACUUUUUUAACAUACUGUACUGAGAUCAAAAUUGUCAAUCGUUGAUAGGGAACUAAGGCCCACUCGUGUUCAAUACAAUUGAGAGAUAUUCCAACAUGAGAACAUAAAUAUUGCCAUAUAAAAAUCGGAACUUAAAUUUUAAUAAACAUACCUACUUAUUAUAGUUAUCAAAUUCCUAUAGCUUUAACUUUUAAAUAAAUAUGUACAUUUUGAUUUAUAUAAGUACGUAUGUUAAUAAAUUUGUAAUAUACAUUGAUUCCAAGUAUUUUUGAAUGAAAUGUAUAACUGCAAAAGAGUAACUA
This is a long non-coding RNA of Lucilia cuprina (Australian sheep blowfly), 409 nucleotides long. RefSeq lists it as uncharacterized. Lineage: Eukaryota; Metazoa; Arthropoda; Insecta; Diptera; Calliphoridae. The record is from RefSeq and is a predicted model, not a curated record. The transcript has 3 exons.